GGCGUCCGGGGAUGGCGCGACGGAGAGUCGGGUUGCUUGGGAGUGCAGCCCGAAGCGGGUGGUAAACUCCAUCUAAGGCUGAAUACCGAGGCGAGACCGAUAGAGGACAAGUACCGUGAGGGAAAGUUGAAAAGGACUUUGAAAAGAGAGUUCAAGAGUACGUGAAACCGCAGAGAGGCAAACGGGGUGGUCCUCUACGGCGCGUCCUAGUGUGUCGGGGUGUGUCGGCGGCGCGUUGUCUCUCCUCGGAGGGCAGCGUGGCGUCGGCAUGCUCGGGCAUGUCCUAGGGCGUGCAGUGCCGCGGGUGGUGUCUCCGUCGUCGAGUGUCGUGGAUCGAGUGCUGGUUCCUUCGGGCGCCGGUGCUGGCCGCGGCUCGCGUCGGACGGGGUUACUUUGUCGCGGCGUCCAAGGAGGUAGCCAUCCCGACCCGUCUUGAAACACGGACCAAGGAGUCUAACGCACGCGCGAGUCGGAGGGUGUCAAACCCCGUGGCGCAGCGAAAGCGAUAAAAGGUGGGAUCGUUCCUUCGGGAGCAGUCACCAUCGGCCUCUUGACCGGCUCGCCGGACGAGGGAGCGAGAGCGUGUGUGUUGGUACCCGAAAGAUGGUGAACUAUGCCUGGACAGGGCGAAGCCAGGGGAAACCCUGGUGGAGGCCCGUAGCGAUUCUGACGUGCAAAUCGAUCGUCUGAGCUGGGUAUAGGGGCGAAAGACUAAUCGAACCAUCUAGUAGCUGGUUCCCUCCGAAGUUUCCCUCAGGAUAGCUGGCGCUCGAGAGUUAGUUUCAUCGGGUAAAGCGAAUGAUUAGAGGUCUCGGGGUCGAAACGACCUCGACCUAUUCUCAAACUAUAAAUCGGGUGAGAACCCGCGUCUUCUUGAUUGAGGCGCGGGCCUCGAAUGCAGAGUGCCUAGUGGGCCAUUUUUGGUAAGCAGAACUGGCGAUGCGGGAUGAACCGAAAACUGGACUGCGGCGCCCUAUGCAGCGACGCUCAUCGGAUCUACGGGAAAGGUGUUGGUUGAUACAGACAGCAGGACGGUGGCCAUGGAAGUCGGAAUCCGCUAAGGAGUGUGUAACAACUCACCUGCCGAAUCAACCAGCCCUGAAAAUGGAUGGCGCUGGAGCGUCGACAGCCUACGUCCAGUGACCGGGGAAGAGUUGGCAAUCCCCGGUCAGUAGGAGGGCCGCGGAGGGGAGCGUGGAAGCGUGGACGCGGGUCUGCGUGGAGCCCCCUCCGGUGCAGAUCUUGGUGGUAGUAGCAAAUAUUCAAAUGAAAGCUUUGAAGGCUGAAGUGGAGAAGGGUUCCAUGUGAACAGCAGUUGGACAUGGGUGAGUCGAUCCUAAGGCGUAGGAGAAAUCCGGGAAAGCGCGCCCUUGCUGGCGCCGAGUGCCGAAAGGGGACGGGGUCAAUAUUCCCCGACCUGGACAUGGACGUACCUCGCGAAUCAAACCACGGGUCGGUCGGCGGCGUUCGCGUCGUCCGGCCGGUUUCGUGCUAUCGCGAGUCUAAGUGGUAACACAAGUGAACCCGGCGACGUUGUCGAGAGCCCUGGGAGGAGUUUUCUUUUCUCUUUUAGGGUACGUUCUCCCUGGAAUCAGUUCGGCUGGAGAUAGGGAAGGCUGUGCCCGUAGAGCAUGGCAGGUCAUGUUGUGUCCGGUGCGUUCUCGACGACCCUGAAAAGCC
This 1680-nucleotide ribosomal RNA is filed under the name Sterreria rubra. RNAcentral describes it as "eukaryotic LSU rRNA". It matches the Rfam family "Eukaryotic large subunit ribosomal RNA", at positions 238 to 1814 of the family's 3401-position model. Lineage: Eukaryota; Metazoa; Xenacoelomorpha; Nemertodermatida; Nemertodermatidae. The record is from RNAcentral.